Long non-coding RNA from Poeciliopsis prolifica (blackstripe livebearer), 156 nucleotides. RefSeq lists it as uncharacterized. The record is from RefSeq and is a predicted model, not a curated record. The transcript is spliced from 3 exons. Lineage: Eukaryota; Metazoa; Chordata; Actinopteri; Cyprinodontiformes; Poeciliidae.
AAACACCUGCUCCAUCAAAAAGAAUGGAACACCGGUCUCGGAGAGAGACCAAAGUGAAGAGUGAUCGUGAUGGCUGUCGGUAAGACUCCAGGAGGUAACGGGAGCACGCCGGAGGGCGGACAGGAGUGAGAAAAGUUUCAACAAACUACUGCUGGA